This 916-nucleotide ribosomal RNA is filed under the name uncultured bacterium. RNAcentral's name for it is "bacterial SSU rRNA". It matches the Rfam family "Bacterial small subunit ribosomal RNA", at positions 9 to 916 of the family's 1533-position model. The record is from RNAcentral.
GAGUUUGAUCAUGGCUCAGGAUGAACGCUAGCGACAGGCUUAACACAUGCAAGUCGAGGGGCAGCGGGGGAGUAGCAAUGCUCCCGCCGGCGACCGGCGCACGGGUGAGUAACACGUAUGGAACCUGCCCGCAGCAGGGGGAUAAGCGGAAGAAAUUCCGUCUAAUACCGCGUAACACCGCGGAGGGGCAUCCCUCGGCGGUUAAAGAUUCAUCGGCUGCGGAUGGCCAUGCGGCGCAUUAGCUAGUCGGCGGGGUAACGGCCCACCGAGGCGACGAUGCGUAGGGGUUCUGAGAGGAAGGUCCCCCACACUGGUACUGAGACACGGACCAGACUCCUACGGGAGGCAGCAGUGAGGAAUAUUGGCCAAUGGCCGGGAGGCUGAACCAGCCAAGUCGCGUGAGGGAAGACGGCCCUACGGGUUGUAAACCUCUUUUGUCAGGGAGCAAGGUGCAGGUCGGGACCUGCUGUGAGAGUACCUGAAGAAAAAGCAUCGGCUAACUCCGUGCCAGCAGCCGCGGUAAUACGGAGGAUGCGAGCGUUAUCCGGAUUUAUUGGGUUUAAAGGGUGCGCAGGCGGAGGCACAAGUCAGCGGUAAAAUCGCGGGGCUCAACCCCGCUCCGCCGUUGAAACUGUGUCCCUUGAGUGCGCGAAGGGUAGGCGGAAUGCGUGGUGUAGCGGUGAAAUGCAUAGAUAUCACGCAGAACUCCGAUCGCGAAGGCAGCCUACCGGCGCGCGACUGACGCUCAUGCACGAAAGCGUGGGUAUCGAACAGGAUUAGAUACCCUGGUAGUCCACGCAGUAAACGAUGAAUGCUAUCUGUCCGGCCGGAAUGACGGCUGGGUGGCACAGCGAAAGCGUUAAGCAUUCCACCUGGGGAGUACGCCGGCAACGGUGAAACUCAAAGGAAUUGACGG